This 801-nucleotide ribosomal RNA is filed under the name uncultured Mogibacterium sp. RNAcentral describes it as "bacterial SSU rRNA". It matches the Rfam family "Bacterial small subunit ribosomal RNA", at positions 8 to 808 of the family's 1533-position model. Lineage: Bacteria; Bacillati; Bacillota; Clostridia; Peptostreptococcales; Anaerovoracaceae. The record is from RNAcentral.
AGAGUUUGAUCCUGGCUCAGGAUGAACGCUGGCGGCGUGCCUAAUACAUGCAAGUCGAGCGAGAUGUUAGCGCAUGAACCUUCGGGGGAUUAUGCUAACGGACAGCGGCGGACGGGUGAGUAACGCGUAGGCAACCUGCCCCUGACAGAGGGAUAGCCAUUGGAAACGAUGAUUAAAACCUCAUGACACCGUAGAAGCACAUGCUUCAUCGGUCAAAGAUUUAUCGGUCAGGGAUGGGCCUGCGUCUGAUUAACUAGUUGGUGAGGUAACGGCUCACCAAGGUGACGAUCAGUAGCCGACCUGAGAGGGUGAUCGGCCACAUUGGAACUGAGACACGGUCCAAACUUCUACGGAAGGCAGCAGUAGGGAAUCUUGCACAAUGGGCGAAAGCCUGAUGCAGCAACGCCGCGUGAAGGAUGAAGGCCUUCGGGUUGUAAACUUCUGUUCUAAGGGAAGAAACAAAUGACGGUACCUUAGGAGCAAGCCCCGGCUAACUACGUGCCAGCAGCCGCGGUAAUACGUAGGGGGCAAGCGUUAUCCGGAAUUAUUGGGCGUAAAGAGUGCGUAGGUGGUUACCUAAGCGCAAGGUUUAAUUUAGAGGCUCAACCUCUACUUGCCUUGCGAACUGGGCUACUUGAGUGCAGGAGGGGAAAGCGGAAUUCCUAGUGUAGCGGUGAAAUGCGUAGAUAUUAGGAGGAACACCAGCGGCGAAGGCGGCUUUCUGGACUGUAACUGACACUGAGGCACGAAAGCGUGGGUAGCAAACAGGAUUAGAUACCCUGGUAGUCCACGCCGUAAACG